Corvus brachyrhynchos (American crow) is the source of this 96-nucleotide small nucleolar RNA. It matches the Rfam family "Z30 small nucleolar RNA". Rfam says of the family: Z30 belongs to the C/D class of snoRNA which contain the C (UGAUGA) and D (CUGA) box motifs. Most of the members of the box C/D family function in directing site-specific 2'-O-methylation of substrate RNAs. NCBI's taxonomy places the organism in Eukaryota, Metazoa, Chordata, Aves, Passeriformes, Corvidae. The record is from Rfam.
GAGCAAUGAUGAGUGAAGUAUAGUCUGAACUGGUAUUGCCGAGACUCCGUGUCUGCUCUGACCAGGGCAUGAUCACGUAAUCUUCUCUCUGAGCUA